GUGGACGCCAGUCUGCAUGGAGCCGACCUUGAAAUACCACCCUUUAAUGUUUGAUGUUCUAACGUGGACCCGUUACCCGGGUUGCGGACAGUGUCUGGUGGGUAGUUUGACUGGGGCGGUCUCCUCCUAAAGAGUAACGGAGGAGCACGAAGGUUGGCUAAUCCUGGUCGGACAUCAGGAGGUUAGUGCAAUGGCAUAAGCCAGCUUGACUGCGAGCGUGACGGCGCGAGCAGGUGCGAAAGCAGGUCAUAGUGAUCCGGUGGUUCUGAAUGGAAGGGCCAUCGCUCAACGGAUAAAAGGUACUCCGGGGAUAACAGGCUGAUACCGCCCAAGAGUUCAUAUCGACGGCGGUGUUUGGCACCUCGAUGUCGGCUCAUCACAUCCUGGGGCUGAAGUAGGUCCCAAGGGUAUGGCUGUUCGCCAUUUAAAGUGGUACGCGAGCUGGGUUUAGAACGUCGUGAGACAGUUCGGUCCCUAUCUGCCGUGGGCGCUGGAGAACUGAGGGGGGCUGCUCCUAGUACGAGAGGACCGGAGUGGACGCAUCACUGGUGUUCGGGUUGUCAUGCCAAUGGCACUGCCCGGUAGCUAAAUGCGGAAGAGAUAAGUGCUGAAAGCAUCUAAGCACGAAACUUGCCCCGAGAUGAGUUCUCCCUGAGACUUAAAGUCUCCUGAAGGAACGUUGAAGACGACGACGUUGAUAGGCCGGGUGUGUAAGCGCAGCGAUGCGUUGAGCUAACCGGUACUAAUGAACCGUGAGGCUUAACCUUACAACGCCGAAG
Molecule: ribosomal RNA, 779 nt
Filed under: Salmonella enterica subsp. enterica serovar Heidelberg
Lineage: Bacteria; Pseudomonadati; Pseudomonadota; Gammaproteobacteria; Enterobacterales; Enterobacteriaceae
Description: partial 23S ribosomal RNA
Rfam family: Bacterial large subunit ribosomal RNA
Source: RNAcentral